Molecule: long non-coding RNA, 6153 nt
Filed under: Sus scrofa (pig)
Lineage: Eukaryota; Metazoa; Chordata; Mammalia; Artiodactyla; Suidae
Description: lncRNA (ENSSSCG00015029792.1)
Source: RNAcentral
UCCUGGCUGCACCUGUCAAGGUCGGAGGUUUAGUCCAGGCCCACCUAUGAGUAGUUGCUCCGGGCAGCCUGAGCCAGAAUAGGACUCUCUAAGCCCCACUUCCCUGAUGUGUUGAGUGGACAGGUGAGACCAGAUUUCUUCCCUUAAUUUUUUUGUAGUCAAAUAAUAUUGUGAAAAAGAAUUACUUAUAUUGCCUUCCCCCCUGGUUCCUGUUAAUAUUUAGUCUCCUGGUCCUAGUUCCUGACACACAGCUUCUGAGACGUUUGUAAGCUCCUUAGUGACAGGCAUGUCUGACAGGAAGCGCCUAACCCCUGGAAUGUUCUGGGCGAUAGAAGCAUCUUUGGUCCUAGUGAGGCACCUGCUGGUGAGCUCCUGGUCACCCGGAAGUCCAAGUCAUGAUAAGAAGCUUGGACAUUUCAGCCUCGCCUUCCACUUUCUGGAGAAGUGGGAGGGGCCGGACGUUGAAUUAAUAAUCCAUGUGGCCCACAUGGUGAGGCCUCCCUAAAAAUGCCUGCGUCAUAGGGUUCAGAGAAAUCCCUGCACCAAAGGUUGGUGAAGACAUUGGUGAGCUGGGAGGGUGACACCCGUCACUGCCCAGGGACAGAGAGGCUCCUGUGCUGAGAAUCCUUCUAGACCUGAUGCUGUGUGUCUCUUUGAUCAGACCUUUCAUUUGCACCCAUUACAAUAGCCUUUGUAAUCAAUGGCAAGAGUGAGGAAUCUGGCUGCCCUGGUUACAUGAACCACUCUAGCAGGUGACAGCACCCGAGAGGAGGUCGUGGGAACCUCGACUUGGAUCUGAGACAGAAGUCUAGGGGGGCCAGGGGGCCCAGCCUUUGAGAUGGCCGUGUGAAGUGGGGCAGCCCCGUGGGACUGAGCCGGUCCCCCGAGGGGUCUGCUCUGAGUCCCGUUGGUGUUGGAAGUGAGCGCGUCGCAGGACACCCAGCCUGUCUCAGCGAAUUGGUCAGUGUGAGACAGACCCUGCUCCUCUGCUGUCAGAAAUAUCACGGGCAUGAGCGUCAAGGAAAAACAAAGUGAUUUUUUUCCCCAUACAGUUAUUAUGCAUUUUUAGUACCUAUCACGUGCUAAUUGUAAGAUCAGAUGCUCUUUUCUUCAUUAUCUAAUUUUGUUUCCCAGCCACCUUGCAACAUAGCUGUUGUUUCCAUUUCAGAAACGAGGUGAUGGUGAGCAGGAAGAGUAAGUCAUUUGCUCAGGGUGACCGAGUCAGAAUGCUGAGAGUAAGAGCAGCGAACUGACUAUCGCAGGCUUAGGAUUGCAGUAAACUUCUCGUGCAGAUAAUCCCCUUUCAUCCUCCCUACAGCCUGUGGUGGAGACGCCCUUGCCACCUCGUGGACCUCGGGAAGUGUGCUUUGGGGCCGGUAGGGUACAUGCCCAAGACCACGUCUUUCACCGGAGGAGCCUUAUAUCAGAGUCAGCAUUCUUUUGAGUCCAGGAUUCAUUUCUGCCACCUACGGCAUUGCAACCCUUCAUGCCCUCCAGUAUGUUUUUCAUACUAUGUUUUCGUACUAUGUUUUCAUAUUAGACUAUGUUUUUCAUACUAUGUUUUCAUAUUACAGUAUGUUUUUCAACUUACCAUUUCAGAGAAACCAACAAAAUGCAGGCUAACUCUCUUGUAAGAAUUAAAAAAACCAAAACUCCAGCAACUCUGUCUCGGAGUUCUGUCAUCAUCCCAUUCAUAAUUGAUUCCAAACGUGCAUGAAUCUUUCAAGAUAAGUGUCUUAUUGAUUAUCCUAGAAACAAGCGAUCACUUGGCAGUCUGGGACCGGCUCGCUGCUCUCCCCUGAUUACCGUAAGCAGAGAUGUUGAGCAGGAGAAAUGUCAUUUUCUUUGGCGUGGACCUGCCAGGCAUUCUGAGGCACCGGAGUGGGGAAUAGAGGUCUCGAAGCGAGCCAGACAAAGAGGUGCUUGGUCAUGGCCUCAGCCGGGUUCCUGAGGGGCUGGAGCCCAGCGUUCGUGGCUUGGCUGCUGCAGCCUCGAGCUGUUCUGGGAUCUUCUUGCCAGGAGUUCUUCCUGGGAAGUGUGCAGAUUGUCCCCGUGAAUGCCGGUUGAAGGCCGUCAGAAAAUGUGAAGUCUCUUUAAGUGACAUCCCUUUUCUGCAAGUUUACUGGUGGUUGUGUAAACCAGCCGCGCCUCCCUCUUGGAAAAGAUGAGCGUUUACCAGGAACCUAGCCCCUCCUUUCAUAGUGGUGGCAAGUCGGUAAGAUACUCACAUGGCUCUGCAGUUGGAUUCUGUUCUGUGUGUCUGCUUCCCGUGUGGCUCUGAUGGCAUUUGACCGCAGCCGUGACCCUGGCGUUGUUGCUGGCAGGUCUUGCAUGGCUGCAGGGAGGGUCAGUGUGGGUGAGACAAAUGGCGAAGUUUCCCCUGGUGACUCUUUUGCUGCAGCUGAAGGCCUUGAAAUACUCUCCGGGUGACAGUAGCCCCAAACGUGAAUGGGCUGUGGCACUUGGCAAACAGAAGGAGACCUGACUCAGGGGUUUGGGGUGCAGCUAAUGAAGAUUCAGGCCAUUGCAUUAAAUUAGCAGCUUGAUUGCCUGGGACCGCCCCUGGUGAAAGGCUUAGUUGCUAUCCUGGGGGGACAGAAUGGGGCUACUCUGCAUCACAUGAGCCUGGCUGCCAGGAAGCUCUUGCUCAGCAACCAGAUGCACCCUUUCUUGGACUCUGAAACUGAUUUCGAAGCGGCUUCAUCACGUGCUUGAAGCAGGUCAUCAAGAGGAAUGAGGCUCUCAUGCCUAGAAUCAUGGCACUUACAAAAGCCACUUAGGUGACAGGUUGGUCCCUUUGUUCUGUGAGGACACAGAGGUGGCUCAGAAAAGGUGAGGUCCUUCCGUCCCCUGAGCCCUUGAGCCGUGUUCACUCCUGCUAAGGCGUCCUGGGUACUUGUUAAUCCCUUGAACAUCUCACUCACUUAACAUCAAUUGAUUGAACACCUGCUGUAUACCAGCCCCCGAGCAAGGUGCUCGGCAUAAAGCGAGACAUCCAGGACAGUCCCUGUGGAGAAGGGCAGGUUUCCUUGUGGUUGUGGUUGUGGCGAUGAUGGUGGAGGACAGGGAGACCUUGGCCUUGAGGAAGACGUUACCGUUCCCUGUUGUGCCUCCCGUCUGUGUAAUUGAGUAGCUACUCAGCGCUGCCUCUUUUGGGGCUCAUGGCUGCAUAUGGACACAUUAGUUUAAUCUGACCCAUCUACCUGUACUAGGGUGCUCGAGAGAAAUAGAACAACCGGAGAUGGAUGGAUGCAGGGAUGCAUAGAUACAUACGCGCACACACAGACAGGCAAGCAGAGGCAAUUUACUGGAGGAACUGGCUCACGUGGUCAUCGAGACCGAGAUGUCCCACUUGCUGGAGAAGGCGGACGAGCAGCAGUAUAAUUCAGCCCAAAUCCUGAAGACGUUAGCUUUUUGUGGUCCUUGGGUCCUCAGUGGCUUUGACUCCCCUCGUGUGCCCGUCGCUCGUGCCCUUGGACACUGCAAAGAAGCUACAGUAGAGAGACUGUUGCUUAAGGGUUUCUGGUAAUGGCAUAAAGAUCACCAGUAAAUGGAUGAUAAACAGCCCUGAUUUCCUGUAAAAAUACAGACAUAUGACGGUAAAAGAGAAUUUAGAGGGUACGACGCUUCACUUUCUUUUGGCUUCCCAUAGUUUACCUGUGUCAUAACCUGUCUAUUAACUUUCUCCCCCCUUUCUUUUUUUGCUAAAGACUAAGAAACAUGGGGUAUUAACCACGAUGAUGCUGCCUCUUAGCUGGAAGGUGAGAAAAAAAUGGAAAACUCUAAGGGAGAGGGUCUUCCGAUAAGGAGUUGAUACUUGUUGGAAUGUUCCGGAAUGACUUCAUGGUUCCUGACAUCCCCUACCACCCCUGAAAUCCAUAAUGAUCAGCAAAUUCUGUGCUUUCUCUGGUGUGUCAGGUACUGUGAUCGAUUCUAGGAUUACAUUAAUAUGGGAAAGACAAUUCCUGUCUUUGAGGAGGGAAACAAUAGGGGAGAAAGCUAGCGGACGCUCCGCUGAGGGGGCUGAGGGAGUCUGCUGUGUUGAAAACUCUUGUCGAGAAGUCCAUCAUGGUGUUUUGUUGGGGUGGCCGGCGACUCCGAGAUGGUGCCCAAGGCCAGGCAGAGCGGAGGAAACGCCCUUAUGCUAUCGUCGUUCCUUCUUCCUGGAGGAUGAAAAGGACCGUUCCAUUUGGACAAGAGUGCGUCGGACAAGGAGCAUCGAGAGCACGUGGCAUGGUUCCGGCGCGGAGGCCUUUUGAUGAAUUGCAGUGCUGUGUGCUGAGGAAAGGCAACCAACCUCUCCUGCAGUUUCUAUGUUAAGGCAGAGAGAAGCGUGUCGCGACGCAGUAGCACAGUGUUAAACCCGGGGCCUCUGCAGAGAUGAGGUCUUGAGCGGGUGCCACUGACAUAAUGGCUUAGAGAAAGGAGUCGUGAGGUCGGGUGGAGUGGACCAGGGCCAAUUCUGGUAGGCUUCACUCGCAGGACCCCGCUUGCAGUAGAUCUUGGUGCAAGCCUCAGGUGGGAGACAGCCCUAGGAUGGUGCAGCGUCGCAGUGAAGAGCUCAGACCCUAGAGCUAUAGCGUUCUAGUUGCUGCGUGUGACACCUAAGACUCCUAAGCCUGGGUCUCGCCAGGGGUAAAGGGGCCUAAUAUGGCACAUGCCUGUAUCUUGGCUGAGAUGCUCUGGGUUGCCUAUAACAGGAAGAUCGACUUGUGGUGGCUGGGUGUUCGAAGAGCUGGACUGUCCUGGUCUGGCUCCACUUGCCUGAGGUUCUCUAUCAGCUUCUUCCUCAGCUGGCGUUCCCACCACAUUCCGGGAUGGCAGCAGAAACUCCCAACACCGUAACCAGAGGGCAUAACGCUGGAAGGAAAGGAGACCUUUCCCCAGAGCCCCUCAGCAGUCUUAUGCUGACAUCUCAUUGGGCAGAAUUACAUCCAAUGCCUUGAUCUCCGGAAACAUCUGGACCCAUCAUGAUUGGGCGCUUAGGCCACUGAAGGUUCAUAGUCCAGUUUUAGUCACAUGGUGGAGGGGGCAUGGCUGACCAAGAUCGGGCUUGGCCAUCAAGGGAGAAAAGGAGAACAGAUACUGGGUGGAUGCCCAGGCGUCUGUUUCAGGACCUCAUAGGGUUAUGAGAAUCCACGAAAACCGUGUCUGUCAGAGGGUUGCUCCAGUGCCUGGCACGUAGUCACAACUCACCAGAACUCAGCAGGCGUGAUCGCAGUGACUGACAGCAGUGCUGGGAAGUAGGGACAUGAAAGCUUCUUGUCCACUUUGCAAAGACCUUGUUCCUGUCAUGUCCUGUAGCCAGCAGAGCUUUCCUUGGCCCCGCCGGUCUCUGCACUCACCUUUCUCUGACAUUCAUCUCUGACACCUGAGUCCCAGUUUUGUUACAGUUAUUAGGAGACAGUGAUAUGUUAGAAGGACAAUGAAUUUGGAGUUCCCUGGUGGCCCAGUGGGUUAAGGAGCCAGUGUUGUCACUGCUGGGGCUCGGGUCACUGAGGGUUCAAUCUGGGGCCUGGGAACUUGUGCACGCCAUGGGCAUGGCCCCAAAAAAUUACAGUGAAAGAAAGAUACACUUCACAUCAAUUGGUUUUGAAUUUAGGGCUUCACCCUCUAUCAUCUCUGUCAUCUCAGAUGAGUUUCUCAAGUUGGCUGAGCCUCAGUUUACCAAGCUAUUUGAUGGGGACGGCCACAUCACUUUUUUCUUCAAAUAGCCACUGCAGGCACCUCACGCAGUCCCUCCCUGCCUUCUGAAAAUAGAGCCUGAGCUACUUUGUUUGAGGGUAGGGUGGGGGUAUUUACCUGGUGCAAACAGAGGGAGCACUGAAGUGGCACCGAGGCAGUCGGCACAGCCCCCACGAACUUCUUCCUGUGCGUCUAGUUCCCUAGAAAACCACCCCUGACCGCCCACUGUUCAGACUUGCUCAGGUGACUAUAACCACCGGUGUUGGUAACAAUGCGCCUAUCGACUCCUCAUUUCAGUAGAUAUCCAGAUUUAUUAUCCCUCAAGGUAAGUAUCGAUUUUACCUUUGUCUCAGUCAAUAUUUACCUCUGAGGUCAAUACGCGCAGAUAUCCACCUCAGCUGCAGUCAGCAUCCACUGCGUGUUACAGUGUGUGAUGUACACAUGAGAAAAUCAACACCACCAUGGCCU